Long non-coding RNA from Trichosurus vulpecula (common brushtail), 3066 nucleotides. RefSeq lists it as uncharacterized. NCBI's taxonomy places the organism in Eukaryota, Metazoa, Chordata, Mammalia, Diprotodontia, Phalangeridae. The transcript is spliced from 7 exons. The record is from RefSeq and is a predicted model, not a curated record.
CAUAAACACCACCACCACCUCCACGAGCUCAGGGCACCAAACGGGGGGCAGGGGCUCCGAGCCCUCGGAGGAAGCCCGCCUGCCCAGAUGUAGGUUAGGCAGCUCGAGCCAAACAAUAAACACGCAUCCAGGGCACGGGGAGAGAGAGGACACAGCAGAGAGGUAGAGCUUUCCAGCUAGGCUCCCAGCACACUGGCAAAGCCGAGUUUGCUUCUUGCAAGUUUCUGCUCUCAUAUUAAAAAGCCCGUGAGCCCCGGGUGCCUUCGGAUCUUCUUUGCGGGUGCUGUUGUUGGGUGUUAUUUAUUAUUAUUCUUUUAAAGCUGGGCUGCUUCCAGCAUUUGAAGGGGGACUUUGAUUAGGUGGUAACCUUCUGGAAGAAGCGUAAUUUGGGGUCGUAGAUGGUGAUCUUUCUGCCCCCUCCUUUGCCCUCCUCUCCCCGUGGCCCCCUCCCGCGGGCAGAUGUAUUUUAUGUUCUCAUCCUUCCAAAUCCCGCUGCUCCCCCCCCCUCACGUUCUGCUCUAGGAUCACAGACAGGAUUGGGGCUCUGUUCUCUUGUUCCUUUUCAGGACUGUAAGUGGUAGCUUUGCUCUUUUACUGUUUUUGUUGACUCUUGUGAAAUAGAUUUCAUGUUGUAAUGAAGGGGGAGGGGGGACGACAAAUCACGGGGACAAAUAAAUUCAUCUCUAUUUUUGGUUUCUCUUGGUUUUCCUGUGAAUCAAGGGCAUUGUAAAAAAAAAAAAAGAGAGAGAAAAAAAAUCAGCUGGGAGAGAACAGAGAACAGUGAGAGGGAAUUCUCCAGGCCUGCUUGGCCGGGAUCAAGAAGGCUGAGCAUGGAUUGGGAACAGACCGUGCUCAUGGGCCGCGCGGCCCAGCCUGGCCCAGCCCGGCCCAGCCCAGCUCAGCCCCGAAGGGCUGUGCACUUUACAUCAGAUUUAUGGGAGGGGGCAUACAGCUACGACUUAUUUUUUUAAGCCAACUCGCUGCCCAAGUGCACUGUGAGGCCUGGCUUGUUUUUGUUCUUAGCUGACAGUUUCUCUAUUUAAAUGUGGUUGGGGUUUUUCCCCUCCUACUCAUCCCUAGAUGAAGGAGAUUCUUCCUUGAUUUCUGUCUCUGUUUCUCUCUACAUAUGGCAACUAAUGAUAUUUCAGAUUCCUCAACACUUAAUCCCAAAUGUUCAGACCAGAAGUCCCCAUAAGAGGCCGAGGUGUACCCUUCAGCUGAUUCCAAGUCCUAUUCCUUCAGGCAACUCAUUGAAAAACAGAAAUCUCUGAAGAAACCCUCCCAACCUAGUUUUCCCCAGUGCAUUAAUUUUCCAAAACUUCCCAGGACUUAUUUAUGAAAAGGAAAUGCAUGAUUCUUCUUGGAGUGGAUACAAAGCCAGCCUCUGAGUCAGUGAGCCUUGGGACCCAGACCUGCUUCUGACACAUACUGACUGGAUGACCCUGGGCAAGUCACUUAGUGACUCUCAUUGCCCCAGGCAGUCCAUAAGACUAUAAGUUGUGGAGCAAGUACCAACCUGAACUGGAGAUGUUUUUGAUUCCUUUCUGAUCAAUCAUCAUUAGGCAGAGGCCACUAACACAUCUCCCCUCAGAUCUAUACUCAAGGAAGCACCAGUUCCACCAGUCAAUGCCCACUCAAGAGGAAUUCCUGCCUCCACAGAAUGCUGGGCUGAAUGUUCUAUGUCCUUUGGACAUUGAUCCUCAGAAGACAUGGAGAGGACUUAGGGCCCUUGCCAGUUGUCCUCCCUUGGACAUCCACCUUAUCAAUGCCCUUAAACCCAACUAUGCCCAGAACUAAACACCACACUCUAGAUGAUAUUUGACAGGGACAGGAUACAGAGGGACUUUCAUCUCCUUACUCCUGGGAACUCUGCCUCUAUUAAUGCAAGCCGAGAUGGCUACAGCUUUUGUGACUGCUGUAUCAUACUACUGGCUGCUUGCAGUUCACUGAAAGUCCCCAGAUCUUUUUCAGGUAAACUCACUGUCUACCUCUCCCUAACACAUUUUGGACUUGCAUCACUGGUUGUUUGGUACUCAAAUGGAAGACUUUAUAUUCAUUCCUAUUGAAUUGCAUAUUGUUAAAUUCAGUCCAGUGCUCCACCUUGUCAAGAACCUUUCAGAUCCUGACUCUGGUGUCUCUGUAUCUUCAGCUUUGCAUCAGCCUGCAGAUCAGAUGAACAUGCCAUCUAAGCCUUUGUACGAGGCAUUGCUAAAGUUGUGGCACAGCACGGAGCCAAACGCGGAUGCCUGGGGCACUUCCUGCCAUGUUAACAUUGAACCAGAACUAGAACUCGUUAGGUCCCAUCCUCCAACCAGAUCUGCCUCCACCUCUUAUUAUUAUCAUCUGGUGCACGUGUCUUCAUAUGAUCUUGCAGAAUGGCAUGAGAAGGAACUACUUUAGCAAAAGUCUGCUUCGAAUCUUGGUAAAUAGUACCUUGCAAUCAGGGUAGUUAAGUAGAUCUUAAUAAACGUGCUCAUACAUUUGGGUUUCUCAGAGAUCAACAUGAACAGUUACCCAUGAUAAAUUUUAUUAUAAGGCAAACAAUCCUCCCCGUCUAGCUCUGUUUUGUCAAUUCAAAAUUUUGCAUAUGGUAAAAGCCAGACUAUUGUGCAAUCCAGCUGAGAGAAUGAAUGGUAAGAAGACUCAUGAGGGAACCUGCUCCCAAUCUCCUGAUCAGUGGAGAAGGCCCUGUGUUCUUCUUCCAUCUACACCGACUCUCCUGAACCAUAGGCUAAAUAGAACUUCUUUUACAUGGACCAAAAAUGUUGCUGGAGGGGACAAGGUCAGAGAGCAGUCAUGUCAUGGGAGGGGAAUUGCCAGGUUCUCUGGAGAGUUCAUUUAUCCUGUGCUCUAGGAAGGUGGUGCCAAGGAAUGAAAUCUGCUCUGCUCCCAGCUGAAUAUCAGGACCCUGAGACAAAGGCCUGCUGGCCCCUUGAUAGUUUAAUGCUCACAUGUGGACAAUUAGUCCCUUCAUCAGAACCACCUCCUGCCUCUUCCUGGUUGCCAUGGAAUGCAGUGUGUAAUGUCUGGAUUCCUAUAAUGCAGCCUGACAUUGUGUUAGCUGAU